UUGAUCCUGCCAGCGGCCACCGCUAUUGGAAUUCGAUUAAGACAUGCGAGUCGAGAGUCGCAAGGACUCGGCGGACCGCUCAGUAACACGCGGAUAACAUGCCCUUGGGUGGGGGAUAACCUCGGGAAACUGAGAAUAAUACCCCAUAGAUCUAGAUGGCUGGAAUGCUUUUAGAUCGAAAACUCCGGUGCCCAAGGAUUGGUCUGCGGCGUAUCAGGUUGUAGUGGGUGUAACGGACCCCCUAGCCUAUGACGCGUAAGGGCCUUGAGAGAGGGAGCCCUGAGAUGGACUCUGAGACAUGAGUCCAGGCCCUACGGGGCGCAGCAGUCGCGAAAACUUCACAAUGGGGGAAACCCCGAUGAGGGAAUUCCAAGUGCCAGCACAUUGUGUUGGCUGUUCUCUGGUCUAAAAAACCGGAGAAGUAAGGGCCGGGUAAGACGGGUGCCAGCCGCCGCGGUAAUACCCGCGGCCCAAGUGGUGGUCGAUAUUAUUGAGCCUAAAACGUCCGUAGCCGGUCUUGUAAAUCCUUGGGUAAAUCGACCAGCUUAACUGUUCGAAGUCCGGGGAGACUGCAAGACUUGGGAUCGGGAGAGGUGAGAGGUACUUCUGGGGUAGGGGUAAAAUCCUGUAAUCCUAGAAGGACCACCGGUGGCGAAGGCGUCUCACUAGAACGAAUCCGACGGUGAGGGACGAAGCCCUGG
Molecule: ribosomal RNA, 701 nt
Filed under: uncultured archaeon
Lineage: Archaea
Description: bacterial SSU rRNA
Rfam family: Archaeal small subunit ribosomal RNA
Source: RNAcentral